Non-coding RNA from Prunus mume (Japanese apricot), 653 nucleotides. The record is from RefSeq and is a predicted model, not a curated record. Lineage: Eukaryota; Viridiplantae; Streptophyta; Magnoliopsida; Rosales; Rosaceae.
UCGGGUUCUAUUAUUUUUCCUCCCCUCUGGUUCGAGCAGCCCCUCCCCUUCCCCCCCUGUUACUAUUCAUCAGCCUGGUUUUUGGGCCACCACCGUCGCAUCCGGCCACCGUUUGGGGUGGCAUCGGUCCCAAACGAACCGGCUCGACGCCCUCUUCCUACCCAAUGCCUCCUCCGUCAUUAACAGCAACACCAGUCGCCGGAAAAUGGCCAAAACAGCCCGGUUUUUGUCAAAAUUUCCCACCGUUCGUUCUCUCUUCUCCGGCUGCCAAAUUGGACGAAUGAGAUUGCUUUUUUGAUCUUGUUUUCAAUGUCAGACUAAAUGAUAUUGCUAAAGCUAUUUGUAUACAAAGAAUCAAAUAGCACUGGAGGUUACAUAUAUGGUGGAGACAGAGAAUGCUGAAAAUGGUAUCUCAUCAGCUAUUGCAUUUGUAGAAGGGGUAAUAUAAGAGGCCUGCAGCAUAUGGCUUGAGGAAUUUUUAGUGCAGCUCUCAAAUCACCAUCAAAUACUCAAAGGAUUUGAUAGUAUAGUAGGAUCUUACCUUGGAUUUGAGUGCUGAAUUUGGAAAGACUUUGACCUUGAAUCGUUGUGCUAAUUUAGUUAAAAUUGUUGACUUGUACAGAUAGUUAAUUGUAGGAGUGUUAAUGCUUUUA